RNAcentral lists this ribosomal RNA (460 nucleotides) under uncultured bacterium. RNAcentral's name for it is "partial 16S ribosomal RNA". It matches the Rfam family "Bacterial small subunit ribosomal RNA", at positions 338 to 795 of the family's 1533-position model. The record is from RNAcentral.
CCUACGGGUGGCAGCAGUGAGGAAUAUUGGUCAAUGGACGAGAGUCUGAACCAGCCAAGUAGCGUGAAGGAUGACUGCCCUAUGGGUUGUAAACUUCUUUUAUAAAGGAAUAAAACGAGGCACGUGUGCCUCUUUGCAUGUACUUUAUGAAUAAGGAUCGGCUAACUCCGUGUCAGCAGCCGCGGUAAUACGGAGGAUCCGAGCGUUAUCCGGAUUUAUUGGGUUUAAAGGGAGCGUAGAUGGGUUUUUAAGUCAGUUGUGAAAGUUUGCGGCUCAACCGUAAAAUUGCAAUUGAAACUGGCAGUCUUGAGUGCACUUGGGGUAGGCGGAAUUCAUGGUGUAGCGGUGAAAUGCUUAGAUAUCACGAAGAACCCCGAUUGCGAAGGCAGCUUACCAAACUGUGACUGACAUUGAUGCUCGAAAGUGUGGGUAUCAAACAGGAUUAGAUACCCGUGUAGUC